Molecule: long non-coding RNA, 884 nt
Organism: Mauremys mutica (yellowpond turtle)
Lineage: Eukaryota; Metazoa; Chordata; Testudines; Geoemydidae
Exons: 3
Source: RefSeq, a predicted model, not a curated record
AGGAGGCAAGAGCUUGCUGUUUGCCUGCCUGAAGGGACGCAGCAGCAAUCUGCCACCCAAUGCAGCCACUGGAGACAAGGGACAGUUCGUGCCGUGAUGGGCCUGGUGACCUCCAACUGAAGGAGAAUCCAGAUGGAAAACUCUCAGAGAAUGGUACAGCACAGAGAGCAGCAGAGGAAGCUUCCUCUCAUUGAACCACCGACCCCCUCUGUGCUUGGGGAGAAGACUUACAGAAGAUACGACCAUCUUUCUCUGUGCCCAUUCCCAGUGCAUGCUCCCUGCUGAAGCUGUCCCUGCAGUGGUGGUUUUUAUAAUGGGGUUGUCUGUCCUCUCAGAGUUGGCUUGAGACCCAGCACUUCUUUUCAUAUAGGACACCAAACAGCCUUCAGAUGAAAAUUAUUUUUAUCAUGAUUCACCUGAGCCAAUUUCAAGCCAGUGUCAUAGUAGUGAAAGGCCAGUCCUUGGGACUUACCCAGUCAAAUCUAUUUUGUGAUUCAAAACCUUGAAAAAUUUGCUCUUUUUAUGGGCUUGAAAACAAAGAAGAAAUUUAUACAUUUUUCACUAGUGAAAUGCUAAAAGAUACAUUCCAAAACAAAUUGACCCUAAUCUAGCUCUUCAAAAAACAAGUCUAUUGGUUAUUUACAGACACCAGUGUGUCAAGUAAAAUAAAGUUUGUUCCAUUGAUGAAACCCUAUUGACAACUAUCUGAUAGUCCUGGAUGUUAUUCAAGCCUCUGAGAACAUUAAGAAAGGAGAGGUAAGGUUUUAAAAUGAUUUCUACUCUCAGAACGAGGCUUGGAAGCACUACCUGACCUGAAUUUGUUAUUAGCCUUUUAACAGUCUAGCUUAUCAAUGUUAGCAUUAAUUUUCUGAGACUAUACACAA